AUUGAACGCUGGCGGCAUGCUUUACACAUGCAAGUCGAACGGAAGCGCGGGCUUCGGCCUGGCGGCGAGUGGAGAAAGGGUGAGUAAUGCAUCGGAACGUGCCCAGUAGUGGGGGAUAGCCCGGCGAAAGCCGGAUUAAUACCGCAUACGACAUGAGGGUGAAAGCGGGGGACCGAAAGGCCUCGCGCUAUUGGAGCGGCCGAUGUCGGAUUAGCUAGUUGGUGGGGUAAAGGCUUACCAAGGCGACGAUCCGUAGCUGGUCUGAGAGGACGACCAGCCACACUGGGACUGAGACACGGCCCAGACUCCUACGGGAGGCAGCAGUGGGGAAUUUUGGACAAAGGGGGCAACCCUGAUCCAGCCAUGCCGCGUGCGGGAAGAAGGCCUUCGGGUUGUAAACCGCUUUUGUUCGGGAAGAAAUCCUCUGGGCUAAUACCCCGGGGGGAUGACGGUACCGGAAGAAUAAGCACCGGCUAACUACGUG
RNAcentral lists this ribosomal RNA (484 nucleotides) under uncultured bacterium. Its description in RNAcentral is "partial 16S ribosomal RNA". It matches the Rfam family "Bacterial small subunit ribosomal RNA", at positions 29 to 507 of the family's 1533-position model. The record is from RNAcentral.